Molecule: ribosomal RNA, 466 nt
Filed under: uncultured bacterium
Lineage: Bacteria
Description: partial 16S ribosomal RNA
Rfam family: Bacterial small subunit ribosomal RNA
Source: RNAcentral
GAUGAACGCUGGCGGCGUGCUUAACACAUGCAAGUCGAACGGAAAGGCUCCUGCUUGCAGGGGUACUCGAGUGGCGAACGGGUGAGUAACACGUGGGUGAUCUGCCCUGCACUUCGGGAUAAGCCUGGGAAACUGGGUCUAAUACCGGAUAGGACGAUGGUUUGGAUGCCAUUGUGGAGAGUUUUUCGGUGUGGGGUGAGCUCGCGGCCUCUCAGCUUGUUGGUGGGGUAAUGGCCUACCAAGGCGUCGACGGGUAGCCGGCCUGGGAGGGUGUACGGCCACAAUGGGGCUGGGAAACGGGCCAGACUCCUUCCGGGGGCAGCAAGGGGGGAUAAUGCACAAAGGGCGGGAGCCUGAAGCAACGACGCCGCGUGGGGGAUGACGGCCUUCGGGUUGUAAACUCCUUUCGCUAGGGGCGAAGCGUUUUGUGACGGUACCUGGAGAAGAAGCACCGGCUAACUACGUG